Long non-coding RNA from Mauremys mutica (yellowpond turtle), 512 nucleotides. RefSeq lists it as uncharacterized. The record is from RefSeq and is a predicted model, not a curated record. The transcript is spliced from 3 exons. Lineage: Eukaryota; Metazoa; Chordata; Testudines; Geoemydidae.
CCUGGGGCUCCUGCUGCUGCUGCCUGGUCCAAGAGAUGUCAACAGUAAGCAGCAAAAGAAAAUUGCAACCCGUAUGUGGAGUUGAGAAGAGCAGGAAGGUCGUGGAGAAAUGAAUGGACCAAUCCACCAGUUCAUGAUUUCAUUAUUUGUGAGAGGCAUAACAGCUGCAGUUUAGGAAUUUUAGGAAGAGGAACAUGGUGUUCAUAGGAGACACAAAUCUACAAGAAUCUUAUAUGAGCCACUGGAUUUGGUACUAUGAAUGGAUCAGUUCCAGCUUUGUGCUCCAAAUCUUCCUCCUGCUGCCCGUCACAUCUCUGCAUUCCUCUCCCAGUGCCCUUCUCCAAUCUUUCUCCUGUUACCAGCCCCAACCCACUUAUUCUUAACCCCCGCCCCGACACACACACAUGCACGUGCGACAGCAGACAGAAAACAGAAUGAUGCUUCUCCCUCAUCUGUGUCCUGUUUGACUCUGCCAGGAUUUCAUCCUCUCCACUCUGAGGUGAAGGGAACAG